AGGAACAAUUUCCGUUGCCUCUGCUUCUCCUGGUCAUCAACAAGGUAAUUGCCUCUACUUCUCCUGCUCUCCUAUUGUUUUAGUUUAGUAUUGGAGAUUUACUUCCUUCAAUACACAUAUCUUAUAGUUUAUUUUUUUAGCUGUAACAGUUUAUAGAUUAGAUGAUGUUUAUGAUCUGGUAUAUUGCUUGGAUAUGCUGUGCUAAUUUUCUUAAGAUAUUAUCUUUGAUUUUGAUACACAUGUAGAAAAAUAUACUUAUGUCACAUUUGAUUUUCUUAAUUGCUUUACUGGCUGAAACGAAUCUGUUCGUAUACACAAUAGAUGAGUACUUCG
This 333-nucleotide long non-coding RNA is filed under the name Gossypium barbadense (sea-island cotton). Its description in RNAcentral is "long non-coding RNA (GBAR_LNC007205)". Lineage: Eukaryota; Viridiplantae; Streptophyta; Magnoliopsida; Malvales; Malvaceae. The record is from RNAcentral.